CUUUGCUGGGAUGAACUGUUAACCGGCGAAGUGACUGAGAUGUCAGGCUGCCAGUCUUUAAAAUUAUAUUGCUCUCUCACCUAAGGUCAAAAUGGUUCUACUAAGGUCUAAGAAGCUACUAAGUUACCUGGGACCCCAAUACAAAUACAAAUAUCUGUACGAUGGAAGACAAUCUUCACUCACCUCAUCCACGAGCACUUUCCCCAGUGAAUUUCUGGCAUGUGGUCUGUUCAUCAGAAUUUCUGCAAUACCUGUACUCCAAAAUAAAAUAAAGAACUCUUUUUCAUUUA
This is a long non-coding RNA of Podarcis raffonei (Aeolian wall lizard), 290 nucleotides long. RefSeq lists it as uncharacterized. NCBI's taxonomy places the organism in Eukaryota, Metazoa, Chordata, Lepidosauria, Squamata, Lacertidae. The record is from RefSeq and is a predicted model, not a curated record. The transcript is spliced from 2 exons.